UACAGGACGAACGCUGGCGGCAACGCUUAACACAUAGCAAGUCGAACGAGCGAAAGGUGCUUGCACCUCUAGCUAGUGGCGACGGGUGAGUAACACGUGAGCAAUCUGCCUUCGGUGGGGGAUACCAAUUGGAAACGAUUGUUAAUACCCCAUAACAUAACGAAGCCGCAUGACUUUGUUAUCAAAGAUUUAUUGCCGGAAGAUGAGCUCGCGUCUGAUUAGGUAGUUGGUGAGGUAACGGCUCACCAAGCCGACGAUCAGUAGCCGGACUGAGAGGUUGAACGGCCACAUUGGGACUGAGACACGGCCCAGACUCCUACGGGAGGCAGCAGUGGGGAAUAUUGCACAAUGGGGGAAACCCUGAUGCAGCGACGCCGCCGUGAGUGAUGAAGUAUCUCGGUAUGUAAAGCUCUAUCAGCAGGGAAGAUAAUGACGGUACCUGACUAAGAAGCACCGGCUAAAUACGUGCCAGCAGCGGC
This 479-nucleotide ribosomal RNA is filed under the name uncultured bacterium. RNAcentral's name for it is "bacterial SSU rRNA". It matches the Rfam family "Bacterial small subunit ribosomal RNA", at positions 26 to 518 of the family's 1533-position model. The record is from RNAcentral.